Molecule: long non-coding RNA, 1762 nt
Organism: Magallana angulata
Lineage: Eukaryota; Metazoa; Mollusca; Bivalvia; Ostreida; Ostreidae
Exons: 3
Source: RefSeq, a predicted model, not a curated record
GCUGGGGAGGGGUGGUAGCAUUGUUUGUUAUUAUGAGAUGGGUUCAUCAUAUUUAUUCACAUAUUUGAUUAAUAGACAUGCUGUUAACAAAGAACAGUACUGCUAUUUCCAUCUGUAUGUUUUCCCAGUACUAGCCUAUCUCUCAUCGUAAUUUACAACAGCACAUAGCUAUAAGGACUGUGUUAUAAACUUUGGGAAACAUGUUUUAUUUAAAAAAGGUGUUAUAAUUUUUGGUUUUACAUAUUCAUCAAUUGUAAAAAUGCAUUGGUACUUAAAUUGAUUUAGUUUUUAAAAUUCCCUCAUAUUAUUCAAAAUGGCGGCUCUUGAGACCGGAAAUGCCCAGUUUUGAUGAUCGGUUAAUAAACUAACAGGUUGUAAGGAAAGAAAAUAUUACUAAAAUUUGUUUCAAUUAAAUGCAGAAUUCUUUAGAUAAUAUUAAGUAAAUAAUAUUGUUUUUUAACCAAAAUAAAUUUUAAAGAUUUAUCCCGGUAUUAAUCUUGGCUGUAUCGUGAUUGGCCAAAAUUUCAAACUUUGACUUCCGUGAAUUCUGAUUGGACAAUUGCCAUUCCGCCAUCAAAUUUUGAAAUGGGCAAAGAAGACAGGAGUUGUUGUGAAGAUUUUCCUGAUUUUUUCAAGAAAUAUGCAGAAUCACAGCGUGUUGUAUGUAGUAAUGAAGCUGCAAGCAGUAGUUUCAUAAAGAUAGACAUGCUUAAGACCUGGAUGAUAUGGCUUUAGUUGUGGAUGACCAUUUCCAUUCAGGAAAAAAUCCCAACAAAGUCCAGCUAGCAGACUGUACACCAGAUUGAAGAUACAUCAUUAAUACAAGAUGAAAAAAGUAAGUGUGUGUGUUUAUCAAGUAAAGAUAUACAGAUUUUAAAUUUUUAACCAUAUAUUAUGUAUAUCUUUAAGUAAAUGAAUUAUUAAAAAUCUGAGAAUAUAAUGGCAACUGCUGUAUCAAUGUUGACUUUUUUUUUUUAGAGGGGAGGGGGGUACCAGGUCAACAGAGAAUUGAAAAGUUUUACUGAUAUUUAAUAAUAAUUUAUGCUACAUAUAUUGAAAAUUGUCAAACAGUAUCAUGUUUUAAAUAUUAUUGCCUUCUUUUAGAUUAAUGGAGGACGAGGAUGAUACUAUGAAAGAGAUCAGAUGCAAGAGCAACCGUCCCCAUAGAAAUACAUGCAACCAUGUAAACAGAAACCAGUUUUCACCUGCCAGGUGCUGGUCACAUAUAUAUUCAACUUGGAACAGAUUCAAGAAACAGAUCCAGUUGUUUGCUGAUAAAUUACUGCAGGUCAUUGGUAUCAUCUAGAACCAGGACUGUUUUAAAAAUCAUACUAGUAUGUUUGGAACAAAAUCAUGCUAGUAUAUGUUAGGAAUUUAACCUAAAACAUGCUUUAUGAAGGUUUUGGUCAAAUUUUGGUUUACAAAAUAAUGUUUUUCAAACUUUCUAUUCAAAUUUAGCAAGAACAUUAGACACACAUGUAAUCCCAAAUGCUUUUAUGUUAGAUUAUUGCUUUAUUUAAAAAACUUGCAUAUAGGGUCUGUAAUGAUUUGAGAUUAUUAUGUAAACAAUAAAAUGCUUUCUUUGGUGACAUAUGCAGGAUAUGAAUGUAGCGACAUUGCAGAAAAAAUACAUUACCCGCAUUAGCGAGUUAUGUAAAUUUUUUCUGCAAUCAUUGCUCCCUUCAUUACCUGCAUGAAUCGUCAAAGAAAGCAUUAUAUUGUUUAUAUUUACAUCUUUCUUUUAACAAAUUAAUAAAUUGUU